This 872-nucleotide ribosomal RNA is filed under the name Bacillus safensis. RNAcentral's name for it is "bacterial SSU rRNA". It matches the Rfam family "Bacterial small subunit ribosomal RNA", at positions 62 to 913 of the family's 1533-position model. Lineage: Bacteria; Bacillati; Bacillota; Bacilli; Caryophanales; Bacillaceae. The record is from RNAcentral.
UCAAGCGAACAGAAGGGAGCUUGCUCCCGGAUGUUAGCGGCGGACGGGUGAGUAACACGUGGGUAACCUGCCUGUAAGACUGGGAUAACUCCGGGAAACCGGAGCUAAUACCGGAUAGUUCCUUGAACCGCAUGGUUCAAGGAUGAAAGACGGUUUCGGCUGUCACUUACAGAUGGACCCGCGGCGCAUUAGCUAGUUGGUGGGGUAAUGGCUCACCAAGGCGACGAUGCGUAGCCGACCUGAGAGGGUGAUCGGCCACACUGGGACUGAGACACGGCCCAGACUCCUACGGGAGGCAGCAGUAGGGAAUCUUCCGCAAUGGACGAAAGUCUGACGGAGCAACGCCGCGUGAGUGAUGAAGGUUUUCGGAUCGUAAAGCUCUGUUGUUAGGGAAGAACAAGUGCGAGAGUAACUGCUCGCACCUUGACGGUACCUAACCAGAAAGCCACGGCUAACUACGUGCCAGCAGCCGCGGUAAUACGUAGGUGGCAAGCGUUGUCCGGAAUUAUUGGGCGUAAAGGGCUCGCAGGCGGUUUCUUAAGUCUGAUGUGAAAGCCCCCGGCUCAACCGGGGAGGGUCAUUGGAAACUGGGAAACUUGAGUGCAGAAGAGGAGAGUGGAAUUCCACGUGUAGCGGUGAAAUGCGUAGAGAUGUGGAGGAACACCAGUGGCGAAGGCGACUCUCUGGUCUGUAACUGACGCUGAGGAGCGAAAGCGUGAGAAGCGAACAGGAUUAGAUACCCUGGUAGUCCACGCCGUAACGAUGAGUGCUAAGUGUUAAGGGGGUAUCCGCCUCUUAAUGCGUGCAGCUAACUGAUUAAGCACUCCGCCUGAGCAGUACGGGUCGCAGGACUGAAGACUUCAAAGAAGUGA